RNAcentral lists this ribosomal RNA (459 nucleotides) under uncultured bacterium. Its description in RNAcentral is "partial 16S ribosomal RNA". It matches the Rfam family "Bacterial small subunit ribosomal RNA", at positions 338 to 795 of the family's 1533-position model. The record is from RNAcentral.
CCUACGGGUGACAGCAGUGAGGAAUAUUGGUCAAUGGUCGGGAGACUGAACCAGCCAAGCCGCGUGAGGGAUGAAGGUACAGAGUAUCGUAAACCUCUUUUGUCAGGGAACAAAGGCGGGGACGUGUCCCCGGAUGAGUGUACCUGAAGAAAAAGCAUCGGCUAACUCCGUGCCAGCAGCCGCGGUAAUACGGAGGAUGCGAGCGUUAUCCGGAUUUAUUGGGUUUAAAGGGUGCGCAGGCGGUUUUUUAAGUCAGCGGUAAAAGCCCGGGGCUCAACCCCGGCCCGCCGUUGAAACUGGCAGUCUCGAGUUGGAGAGAAGUAUGCGGAAUGCGCGGUGUAGCGGUGAAAUGCAUAGAUAUCGCGCAGAACUCCGAUUGCGAAGGCAGCAUGCCGGCUCCACACUGACGCUGAGGCACGAAAGCGUGGGUAUCGAACAGGAUUAGAUACCCUUGUAGUC